This 621-nucleotide ribosomal RNA is filed under the name uncultured bacterium. Its description in RNAcentral is "bacterial SSU rRNA". The stretch from base 1 to 521 matches the Rfam family "Bacterial small subunit ribosomal RNA", at positions 338 to 873 of the family's 1533-position model. The record is from RNAcentral.
CCUACGGGAGGCAGCAGUGGGGAAUAUUGGACAAUGGGCGAAAGCCUGAUCCAGCAAUGCCGCGUGAGUGAUGAAGGCCUUGGGGUUGUAAAGCUCUUUUACCAGGGAUGAUAAUGACAGUACCUGGAGAAUAAGCUCCGGCUAACUCCGUGCCAGCAGCCGCGGUAAUACGGAGGGAGCUAGCGUUGUUCGGAAUUACUGGGCGUAAAGCGUACGUAGGCGGUUAUUCAAGUCAGAGGUGAAAGCCUGGAGCUCAACUCCAGAACUGCCUUUGAAACUAGAUAGCUAGAAUCUUGGAGAGGUGAGUGGAAUUCCGAGUGUAGAGGUGAAAUUCGUAGAUAUUCGGAAGAACACCAGUGGCGAAGGCGACUCACUGGACAAGUAUUGACGCUGAGGUACGAAAGCGUGGGGAGCAAACAGGAUUAGAUACCCUGGUAGUCCACGCCGUAAACGAUGAUAACUAGCUGUUCGGGCUCUACGAGCUUGAGUGGGCGCGNGCUACGACAUAAGUUAGUACCGUCCGUCGGGAGGUACGGUCGCGAAGAAGUUAAACGUUAACUAAAUUAGUUAAGUUAGUUACGGACGUGAGACGUUGCCGACGGACGACGACGAGGGAGGAGG